CCGUGCCAGCAGCCGCGGUAAUACGGAGGGUGCAAGCGUUGUCCGGAAUUAUUGGGCGUAAAGAGCUCGUAGGCGGUUUGUCGCGUCUGCUGUGAAGACCCGAGGCUCAACCUCGGGCCUGCAGUGGGUACGGGCAGACUAGAGUGCGGUAGGGGAGAUUGGAAUUCCUGGUGUAGCGGUGGAAUGCGCAGAUAUCAGGAGGAACACCAAUGGCGAAGGCAGAUCUCUGGGCCGUAACUGACGCUGAGGAGCGAAAGCAUGGGGAGCGAACAGGAUUAGAUACCCUGGUAGUCCAUGCCGUAAACGUUGGGAACUAGAUGUGGGGACCAUUCCACGGUCUCCGUGUCGCAGCUAACGCAUUAAGUUCCCCGCCUGGGGAGUACGGCCGCAAGGCUAAAACUCAAAGGAAUUGACGGGGGCCCGCACAAGCGGCGGAGCAUGCGGAUUAAUUCGAUGCAACGCGAAGAACCUUACCAAGGCUUGACAUAUAGAGGAAACGUCUGGAAACAGUCGCCCCGCAAGGUCUCUAUACAGGUGGUGCAUGGCUGUCGUCAGCUCGUG
This 561-nucleotide ribosomal RNA is filed under the name uncultured bacterium. RNAcentral describes it as "bacterial SSU rRNA". It matches the Rfam family "Bacterial small subunit ribosomal RNA", at positions 503 to 1064 of the family's 1533-position model. The record is from RNAcentral.